CAAACGACUCUCGGCAACGGAUAUCUCGGCUCAUGCAUCGAUGAAGAACGUAGCGAAAUGCGAUACUUGGUGUGAAUUGCAGAAUCCCGUGAACCAUCGAGUUUUUGAACGCAAGUUGCGCCCGAAGCCAUUUGGCCGAGGGCACGUCUGCCUGGGCGUCACGC
Molecule: ribosomal RNA, 164 nt
Filed under: Goodenia minutiflora
Lineage: Eukaryota; Viridiplantae; Streptophyta; Magnoliopsida; Asterales; Goodeniaceae
Description: 5.8S ribosomal RNA
Rfam family: 5.8S ribosomal RNA
About the family: 5.8S ribosomal RNA (5.8S rRNA) is a component of the large subunit of the eukaryotic ribosome.
Source: RNAcentral